UUUUAGACUACAGAAUCUCCAAAGGAAUAUGCUUGUGAUUUUACCAUUUAUGACAGGAAUCAUGAUGGGAGUAUCCUAGAAAGUGAGUUUCUGCAGUACUCCAUCGACCAGGGUUACAGCGCUUUCCAAAGCGAGAACGUUUUCCAUAUCAUGGAUGGAAAUGACGACGGUCGGAUAGAAGUAUUUGAGUUUGUGGCAAGUUUACAGAAAUUGAAAGCAGUGUCGAUGUUGAAACCGUGCAAACGUAUGUGGAAUUGGUGGAAUAUCACAUCAUCGGGUGGAGUACGACGGAUGCGUUAAGGGACGUAGAAGAAAGCAAAUCUAUGCUUUAUAAAUUAUUAAAAAUACACUUGAAUU
Molecule: long non-coding RNA, 357 nt
Organism: Saccostrea cuccullata (small rock oyster)
Lineage: Eukaryota; Metazoa; Mollusca; Bivalvia; Ostreida; Ostreidae
Exons: 3
Source: RefSeq, a predicted model, not a curated record